Molecule: non-coding RNA, 193 nt
Filed under: Methyloligella halotolerans
Lineage: Bacteria; Pseudomonadati; Pseudomonadota; Alphaproteobacteria; Hyphomicrobiales; Hyphomicrobiaceae
Source: RNAcentral
CCUUAUCAAGACUAGGACGGUUCCCCGCAAGGGAUUGAAAGGGAAUGCGGUGCUGCCCCGAGGCAAAGACCGCAGCUGCCCCCGCAACUGUAAUCGGCGAGCGUCAGGCCAUGACACCACUGGGAAGACCCGGGAAGGUGGCCGGAUGCGAAGACCCGAGAGCCAGGAGACCUGCCGUUCCAUGUGUUCGACA